AGCAGCCGCGGUAAUUCCAGCUCCAAUAGCGUAUAUUAAAGUUGUUGCAGUUAAAAAGCUCGUAGUUGAAUUUCGGGGUUAGCAAGUUGGUCGUGCCUUUGGUAUGCACUGGCUUUGCUGAUUCCUCCUUCUUGAAGAACUGUGAUGCUAUUAAUUUGGUGUUGCAGGGAAACAGGACUGUUACUUUGAAAAAUUAGAGUGUUUAAAGCAGGCUAACGCUUGAAUACAUUAGCAUGGAAUAAUGAAAUAGGACGUUUGAUCCUAAUUUUGUUGGUUUCUAGGAUUGACGUAAUGAUUAAUAGGGAUAGUUGGGGGCAUUAGUAUUCAAUUGUCAGAGGUGAAAUUCUUGGAUUUAUUGAAGACUAACUACUGCGAAAGCAUUUGCCAAGGAUGUUUCAUUAAUCAAGAACGAAAGUUAGGGGAUCGAAGA
This 430-nucleotide ribosomal RNA is filed under the name uncultured Glomus. RNAcentral describes it as "SSU rRNA". It matches the Rfam family "Eukaryotic small subunit ribosomal RNA", at positions 569 to 1004 of the family's 1831-position model. The record is from RNAcentral. Lineage: Eukaryota; Fungi; Glomeromycota; Glomeromycetes; Glomerales; Glomeraceae.